This 502-nucleotide ribosomal RNA is filed under the name uncultured bacterium. RNAcentral's name for it is "bacterial SSU rRNA". It matches the Rfam family "Bacterial small subunit ribosomal RNA", at positions 16 to 507 of the family's 1533-position model. The record is from RNAcentral.
AUCCUGGCUCAGGAUGAACGCUAGCUACAGGCUUAACACAUGCAAGUCGAGGGGCAGCAUGAACAUAGCUUGCUAUGUUUGAUGGCGACCGGCGCACGGGUGCGUAACACGUAUCCAAUCUACCCAUGGCUCUGGGAUAGCCUUGCGAAAGUAAGAUUAAUACCGGAUGUUGUUAAAAACCCGCAUGAGUUUUUAACCAAAGAUUUAUUGGUAAUGGAUGGGGAUGCGUGACAUUAGGUAGUUGGUGAGGUAACGGCUCACCAAGCCUACGAUGUCUAGGGGUUCUGAGAGGAAGGUCCCCCACACUGGAACUGAGACACGGUCCAGACUCCUACGGGAGGCAGCAGUGAGGAAUAUUGGUCAAUGGACGAGAGUCUGAACCAGCCAAGUAGCGUGCAGGAUGACGGCCCUCUGGGUUGUAAACUGCUUUUAGUUGGGAAUAAAAAGAGGGACGUGUCCCUAAUUGUAUGUACCAUCAGAAAAAGGACCGGCUAAUUCCGUG